UGAGGAAUUUUGCGCAAUGGGCGAAAGCCUGACGCAGCGACGCCGCGUGGAGGAAGAAGGUCUUCGGAUCGUAAACUCCUGUCAAGGGGGACGAAUGCCGACGGGAUGAAUAAGCCCGCCGGUUGACGGUACCUCUGGAGGAAGCCCCGGCUAACUCCGUGCCAGCAGCCGCGGUAAUACGGAGGGGGCCAGCGUUGUUCGGAAUUAUUGGGCGUAAAGGGCGCGUAGGCGGCUCGGCAAGUCAGUUGUGAAAUCCCUCGGCUCAACCGAGGAACUGCGACUGAAACUGCCGGACUUGAGUCCCGGAGAGGGUAGCGGAAUUCCCAGUGUAGCGGUGAAAUGCGUAGAUAUUGGGAGGAACACCGGUGGCGAAGGCGGCUACCUGGACGGGUACUGACGCUGAGGCGCGAAAGCGUGGGGAGCAAACAGGAUUAGAUACCCCCGUAGUCC
Molecule: ribosomal RNA, 450 nt
Filed under: uncultured prokaryote
Description: bacterial SSU rRNA
Rfam family: Bacterial small subunit ribosomal RNA
Source: RNAcentral